This 309-nucleotide ribosomal RNA is filed under the name uncultured diatom. Its description in RNAcentral is "SSU rRNA". It matches the Rfam family "Eukaryotic small subunit ribosomal RNA", at positions 24 to 347 of the family's 1831-position model. Lineage: Eukaryota; Bacillariophyta. The record is from RNAcentral.
UCAUACGCUCGUCUCAAAGAUUAAGCCAUGCAUGUCUAAGUAUAAAUCUUUUACUUUGAAACUGCGAACGGCUCAUUAUAUCAGUUAUAGUUUAUUUGAUAGUCCCUUACUACUUGGAUAACCGUAGUAAUUCUAGAGCUAAUACAUGCGUCAAUACCCUUCUGGGGUAUAUUUAUUAGAUUGAAACCAACCGCUCCGGCGUGAUGUGGUGAUUCAUAAUAAUUGCGAAUCGCAUGGCUUACGCCGGCGAUGGAUCAUUCAAGUUUCUGCCCUAUCAGUCUUUGGAUGGGUAGGGUAUUGGCCUACCAU